AUUGAACGCUGGCGGCAUGCUUUACACAUGCCAGUCGAGCGGCCGCGCGGCCUUCGGGCUGGCGGCGCGCUGCGAACGGGUGAGUAAUUCAUCCGAACAUGCCCAGUCGUGGGGGAUAACACUUCUAAAGAAGUGCUAAUCCCGCAUACGUCCUGAGGGGGAACGCGGGGGAUCGAUAGACCUAGCGCGAUUUGCGUGGCCGUUGUCAGAUUAGCUAGUUGGUGGGGUAAAGGCCUACCAAGGCGACGAUCUGUAGCUGGUCUGAGAGGAUGAUCAGCCACACUGGGACUGAGACACGGCCCAGACUCCUACGGGAGGCAGCAGUGGGGAAUUUAGGACAAUGGGGGCAACCCUGAUGCAGCCAUGCCGCGUGAGUGAAGAAGGCCUUCGGGUUGUAAAGCUCUUUCAUCAGGAAAGAAACAAUGGGCUAUAACAUAGGCCGCUAAUGACGGUACCUGAAGAAGAAGCACCGGCUAACUACGUG
Molecule: ribosomal RNA, 484 nt
Filed under: uncultured bacterium
Lineage: Bacteria
Description: partial 16S ribosomal RNA
Rfam family: Bacterial small subunit ribosomal RNA
Source: RNAcentral